GGAUUCCCCUAGUAACUGCGAGUGAAGCGGGAAAAGCUCAAAUUUAGAAUCUGGCAGCCUACGGUUGUCCGAGUUGUAGCCUAGAGAAGCGUUUUCUGCGUUGGACCAUGUACAAGUCCCUUGGAACAGGGCGUCAUAGAGGGUGAGAAUCCCGUACUUGACAUGGACUCCCAGGGCUAUGUGAUGCGCUCUCGAAGAGUCGGGUUGUUUGGGAAUGCAGCUCUAAAUGGGUGGUAAAUUCCAUCUAAAGCUAAAUAUUGGCGAGAGACCGAUAGCGAACAAGUACCGUGAGGGAAAGAUGAAAAGCACUUUGGAAAGAGAGUUAAACAGUACGUGAAAUUGUUGAAAGGGAAACGCUUGAAGUCAGUCGCGUCGGCCGGGACUCAGCCUUGAACGGUGCACUUCCCGGUGGACGGGCCAGCAUCAGUUUUGAUCGUCGGAAAAGGGUUUGAGGAAUGUGGCACCUUCGGGUGUGUUAUAGCCUCUUGCCGCACGCGACGGUUGGGACUGAGGAUCGCAGCUUCGGCUUAGGAUGCUGGCGUAAUGGCUUUAAACGACCCGCU
RNAcentral lists this ribosomal RNA (563 nucleotides) under Unilacryma unispora. Its description in RNAcentral is "eukaryotic LSU rRNA". It matches the Rfam family "Eukaryotic large subunit ribosomal RNA", at positions 72 to 653 of the family's 3401-position model. The record is from RNAcentral. Lineage: Eukaryota; Fungi; Basidiomycota; Dacrymycetes; Unilacrymaceae.